This is a long non-coding RNA of Agelaius phoeniceus (red-winged blackbird), 1045 nucleotides long. RefSeq lists it as uncharacterized. The record is from RefSeq and is a predicted model, not a curated record. NCBI's taxonomy places the organism in Eukaryota, Metazoa, Chordata, Aves, Passeriformes, Icteridae.
CUGGGACCGGCUGAGGCCCGGCCGUGAGGGGAGCGCUCCGGGGAGCCCGUCUGAGGCCCGGCCUUGCAGGGUGUCCGGGUGCGCUCCGGUGCCAGGUGAACCCCGUGGCUGAGACUGUUUGCCGUAUCUCGGUCGCACCACAGUGCCCGGCUCCACAAUCCCAAUCUUUAUGAGGCAGAAGUGUCAUAUGACACAGGGAUGACUGCCAAAUGUCAGCCAGUUUUGACAUAAUGCCUUGGCAGAACACAGAGAUGCUCAGAAAGGAGACACAGUAUUAAUUCUACUAGAGAGACUGGGGCUGUGAGCUACCAUGGCAGUAGCACACACAACAGCCAGCCUGCUGCUCCGGAGGGAAUGACAGCUUCCGAGCCAUCCAGCAGAGACUGAGGGUCCCUCCUGUGCACAGAGACAGUCCUGCUCCACCGGGAAGCCAAUGAGCUGAACCUCAAGUCAAAAUUAAAGAGCUCAGGUGCUGGAUCAGGACCUUAUUAAAAGUGAGCAGGUAUCUUCAGUUGCUCCUUCUGCUGCCCUGUCAUUGUGGUUUUAUCUACUGCCAGUCUUUGACUAUCUCAAGUAACCAAGCAUCAGCGCUGCUGACAGCUGAUCAGGAAUUAGAGGGCUUCUUUCCAACGGCUUUACAGGAUACAGAAGAACUGUAGCAACACAAGACUGAAGUUACAGCCUUUGGGCAGUGGUGGCUCUUCUACAUCAUGGAACAUUUCUGCUCAGCUGCCUGUUUCAUCUCAGUGAAGGUGGCUUGCGCCUUCUCUUUGAUGGCAUCCAUGUCCAUAUUCUGGAUGUUCUGCAGCUGGCCCAGGAUAGAGUCCUUGUCUUCUUCCUCCUCCUGAUCUUCUGCCACCAUCUUCUGAAGGUCUUCUGGCAAUCCCACAUCAUCUCCAGCCAUCUGUAUUUGAUUCUCAUCCAAUUCACUCUAAAGCAGGAAACAAAACCAGCAAAUGUGGGACAUAAAUAAGCAAUACAGCAGCAACACCGUCCUUUUGCCAUUGAAGGGCUGCAAAUACCUUGCAAGUAGCUAUAAGGAGAC